This 304-nucleotide ribosomal RNA is filed under the name uncultured Lactobacillus sp. RNAcentral's name for it is "bacterial SSU rRNA". It matches the Rfam family "Bacterial small subunit ribosomal RNA", at positions 363 to 659 of the family's 1533-position model. The record is from RNAcentral. Lineage: Bacteria; Bacillati; Bacillota; Bacilli; Lactobacillales; Lactobacillaceae.
CUUCCACAAUGGACGCAAGUYUGAUGGAGCAACGCCGCGUGAGUGAAGAAGGGUUUCGGCUCGUAAAGCUCUGUUGGUAGUGAAGAAAGAUAGAGGUAGUAACUGGCCUUUAUUUGACGGUAAUUACUUAGAAAGUCACGGCUAACUACGUGCCAGCAGCCGCGGUAAUACGUAGGUGGCAAGCGUUGUCCGGAUUUAUUGGGCGUAAAGCGAGUGCAGGCGGUUCAAUAAGUCUGAUGUGAAAGCCUUCGGCUCAACCGGAGAAUUGCAUCAGAAACUGUUGAACUUGAGUGCAGAAGAGGAG